ACUCAAAGGAAUUGACGGGGGCCCGCACAAGCGGUGGAGCAUAUGGCUUAAUUCGAUGCAACGCGAAGAACCUUACCAGGGCUUGACAUGCAACUGCACGCUGUAGAGAUACAGUUCUUUCGAAGGUGUUGCACAGGUGGUGCAUGGCUGUCGUCAGCUCGUGUCGUGAGAUGUUGGGUUAAGUCCCGCAACGAGCGCAACCCUCACGGUCUGUUACCAGCGGAUAAUGCCGGGGACUCGGACUGAACUGCCUCUGUAAAGAGGAGGAAGGUGGGGAUGACGUCAAGUCAUCAUGCCCCUUACGCCCUGGGCUGCACAUAUGCUACAAUGGCCGGUACAAAGAGCUGCGAGCACGCGAGUGUCAGCAAAUCUCAAAAAGCCGGUCUCAGUUCGGAUUGGAGUCUGCAACUCGACUCCAUGAAGUCGGAAUCGCUAGUAAACGCCGGUCAGCAAUACGGCGUUGAAUACGUUCCCGGGCCUUGCACACACCGCCCGU
RNAcentral lists this ribosomal RNA (496 nucleotides) under uncultured bacterium. RNAcentral's name for it is "partial 16S ribosomal RNA". It matches the Rfam family "Bacterial small subunit ribosomal RNA", at positions 899 to 1397 of the family's 1533-position model. The record is from RNAcentral.